GACGAACGCUGGCGGCGUGCUUAACACAUGCAAGUCGAACGGAAAGGCCCUGCUUUCAGGGUACUCUAGUGGCGAACGGGUGAGUAACACGUGGGUGAUCUGCCCUCCACUUCGGGAUAAGCCUUGGAAACUGUGUCUAAUACCGGAUAUGAGCCAUUUUUAUUGUGAUUGUUGGAUAGUUUUUUCGGUGUAGGAUGAGCUCGCGGCCUAUCAACUUGUUUGUUGGGUAAUGGCCUACCUACGCGGCGACGGGUAGGCGGCCUGGGAGGGUGGACGGCCACAAUGGGGCUGAGAUACGGCCCAGAAUCCUACGGGGGGGAGGAGGGGGGAAUAAUGGACAAUGGGGGGAAGCCCGGUGCCACGAAGGCGGGGGGGGGAAGAAGGGCCUCGGGGUGUAAACUCCUUUCGGUAGGGAAGAAGCUGUGAGUGACGGUACCGAGAAAAGAAGCACCGGCUAACUACGUG
RNAcentral lists this ribosomal RNA (465 nucleotides) under uncultured bacterium. RNAcentral's name for it is "partial 16S ribosomal RNA". It matches the Rfam family "Bacterial small subunit ribosomal RNA", at positions 28 to 507 of the family's 1533-position model. The record is from RNAcentral.